AGGAAAAUGAUAUACCAAUUAACAAUGUAAAGCUGCUUUGACACAAUCUGCAUUGUAAAAAGCGCUAUAUAAAUAAGGGUGACUUGACUUGACUUUUUAUUUUCAGCAGCUGGAGAAGAGACAGCCUGUGCAGCAACAACAAGACAACAAUGAUUAUAAGCAGGGAUAAUCUCCAGGUGUUCUGCACGGGUCCAGGAUCAAGAGAUCAUUCAUCAUGCAGACCAUGUUCCAGGAGAAGCAGGGUAUACUGGGUCUGCUUGAUCAUUUUGUUGUCCUGGAUGUGAGAACAUGGUCAAAAGGUGUGUCAAUCAGCAUCCAGCCAUAAAAGCAGCCUUCUCGUUAAAAGGCUCAGGAGGACAAACAGAAAGAUGUAUUUUUGAGGAGGCUACAACAACAACUAAAGCCAGGGACACACUUAACGACUGUAAGGCCGAUUAUAAAUGUAAUUUGAUACUUUCAACUGAUCUUGCCCAAACACGUCGAGUCAGAGCCAGUUGCGUUCAGUCUGUUUAUAAUCUAAGUAUUUAAAUCCACUUCAGUCGAAGGUAACAGUUUUUAAGUGUGUUGAUUUCAGUCUUAGAAUGUUUCUUCUAGUCGUUCAGUGUGUCCCCAGCUUGAAGGAGUCAGCAGUGAGGGAAGUAAUCGUUAAAAUCUGCCAGAGGAGGAUGAUGAUGGCAGUGGUGACCAAGGUGACAGUGCAGCUCAGGAUGAAGAAGAGGAGGAACAUUGAUUGGCACGGAGACAGGAUAAAACGCCGUGAGAAGCAGGAGUGUGUGAGAGAGAGGGGAACUGCUGACUGAGUCGUGUCGAGGUUCUUGGAGUGAAGCCCUUGUGGAUUGUGUAUACCAGACUUGGAGAGAAGCCCUUGUGGAUGGUGUAUACCGAACCUGGAGUGAAGCCCUUUGUGGAUUGUUUAUUUUUGUUGUUGUGCGCUGCACAGUCUUUCUGUUGAACCUUUUUGAAACCUAAUAAAGUCUCAGUCAGCAGUUGUUCGUCGACCCUGUCCUCUUCCUUCCCCAACUACGAACUUAACUGUGCUACACUGGUGCCGAAACCCGGGAAGGAAGACGGGAGCACGUCGCCAUGCAAGCUUCGUCCUCCACCCCAUUUGCGGAGAUCAUCGCGUCCCUCGCGGUCCUGCACUGCGAACAACAACAGGCCCUGCUGGAGCUAAGAAGUGAUCAGGAGCGGUGUUUUCAAGCCAUCCUACAGACCCAGCAGGAGGACCGCGAGGCGUUCCGGAGCUGGAUUGACCGGGAGGUUCCCGGGGAACCCACCGAGCAGCCCGCUGUGCCUGUCCACCUGCCCUUAAACAAGAUGGGCCCACUGGACGAUCCAGAAGUUUUCCUCGAGCUCUUUGAGAGAUCCGCGGAGGCGUGUAAAUGGCCGCGGGACCAGUGGUCUAUGAGGCUGGUCCCGCUCCUCUCAGGAGAAGCACAGGUGGCGGCACAGCAGCUCCCAGUCCAGAACCUCCUGGUCUAUGACGACCUACGGCGGGCCAUCGUCCAGCGGGUUUGUCGGACCCCAGAGCAGCAUCGACAGCGCUUCCGCUCCCUCGACCUGGGUGAGUCCGGCCGGCCCUUUAUGAUGGCCCAACAGCUCCGGGACUCGUGCCGCAAAUGGUUGCUGGCUGAGGGAAGCGACAUGGACCUGGUCAUCGAUCGCGUGGUACUGGAGCAGUUCAUCACUCGGCUCCCGGAAAAAACUGCCGAGUGGGUCCAGUGCCACCGCCCCACGUCGCUGGACUCAGCCAUCCAAUUGCGGAGGACCACAUGGUGGCGUGCCAAGGGGUCGGCGAUCAUUUUGUGGAUAAAUGUCCGGUUAUGGAGGUCGGGACAGUGAUCCGGGUCCCCGACGAUCCACAGGCCGCCCCUGGUCAGGCUGGCGGGUACCAAAUACCUUGAUUGGCGCAGAGACAGGAUAAAACGCCGUGAGAAGCAGGAGUGUGUGAGAGAGAGGGGAACUGCUGACUGAGUCGUGUCGAGGUUCUUGGAGUGAAGCCCUUGUGGAUUGUGUAUACCAGACUUGGAGAGAAGCCCUUGUGGAUGGUGUAUACCGAACCUGGAGUGAAGCCCUUUGUGGAUUGUUUAUUUUUGUUGUUGUGCGCUGCACAGUCUUUCUGUUGAACCUUUUUGAAACCUAAUAAAGUCUCAGUCAGCAGUUGUUCGUCGACCCUGUCCUCUUCCUUCCCCAACUACGAACUUAACUGUGCUACAUAUAUAUAUAUAUA
Megalobrama amblycephala (Wuchang bream) is the source of this 2230-nucleotide RNA transcript. RefSeq lists it as uncharacterized. The transcript is spliced from 7 exons. The record is from RefSeq and is a predicted model, not a curated record. Lineage: Eukaryota; Metazoa; Chordata; Actinopteri; Cypriniformes; Xenocyprididae.